UUUAAUGGCUACCAUUUUAUUUGUGACCACAUAAUAAUAUACGAGAAUAUUUGUUUUUAAAUAUUUAAAAUUUUUAAAAACAAAUAUUCUCUCUUUUUUUUUAACAGUAUAGCGCCAUUUUAAUGUUCUAAAACAAGAAAUACAAAACAUAUCCUUUAGAGAUACAUAAAUGUGCAGAAAUCAGUUUUUCAAGCAAGGGGAAGAUAUACAAAAUUCAGGUUGGCAGUGACCUCUCAGAAAAGAGGAUAAUGGCAGGAAAUAUUCAGAGAGACACAAAGAUAUUGGCAGUGCUCCACACUGAAAUAAGACAGACUAUUCAAGACUGUGUGUUUUAUUAUUGAGCUCACUAUAUUAGUUCUAUUUCAUAUAUUUUGCAUUUAUCAAAUAUUACAUAUAUCUACUUUAGUUAAUGAAUGUUUAAACACAGGAUAUUUUAAUUAUGUCUCAUUGUAUUUUUGGUCCCCCACUCUAUUUGGUCUAUCAAAUCUUGUUUGGGGCAAAGAGACAAAAUGCAAGUAAAAGUUCUUUUAAAUUAUAACGUUAUGGCUUUUAAUUGAUUUGACCAAUCAAGUAUAUAUAUAUAUAUUUUUUUUAAUUUUUUCCUCUUUAUUAAGGUAUAACUGUUGCUGAAAUUUGGCCUGUGUCAGCUGGUGCUGAAUUGAAAUGCAAGGACAGUUUUGGGUAAAGGAGAAAAAGAUAGCUUUAUUGCUUUGACAGGCAAAGGGGGGCACAGCAGGAUAAUGCCUUAAAGACUGUGUCCCCCUUGGAAGUGGUUAGGAGGUAGUUUUGUAGUUUGGGGAGUAGAAAAUGGAUCUGGGCCAUAGAAAAGGAUCUGGGAAAAGGCAAGCUUGCAUUGUUUCCCAAAACUGGUGUUUAGUGACCCCAGGACUGGUUCUAGUGGUCCUCCUUCUUUCUGUAAUGAAGAAUACUUCAUUAAGUAGUUCUUCCAUUUGUUGGGGGUUUUAGUUCUAGGGAAAGGCUCAAAGACAUUGUUAUGUAUAUUCCUUGAGGCGAACCAGGACCAGUGCUCCUCCCUGGUCUCUGCAUCCCUCCUUUCCCUGAUUAGCAACUGCCCUUUGGAACUCAGGGAGGGUCACAGAGGAUGAGGCUUAUUCCCUAAAAAACAAGAACUGGAGGACACAGAAAGGCUUAUGUACCUAGGCGCCCCACAGGACACUAGCUUGGUUACAUAACUGAUGAAAAUUGUAUAUAUUUAAGAUGUACCACUUGUGUUUUAUAUACAUACACAUUUUGAAAUAGUCACCACAAUCAAGCUAAUUAACAUUCCUAUCACUACAUCUGCAAUGUAUUUCACAGGUGCCUGAAACAGUUAUACAUCAUUUAUGAAGUAAUUUUUCCAUAUUUAAAAUUUUCACAGAGACCAAGAAUAUUUUACUAUGCUGUAUUAUAAGAAAAAAAAUAGGCCCUUUUACCCCCACUCUUGAGAAAUGGCACAGAAUCCAUCAAUUCUGACGUUCAGAUUUUUGCUUCCUAAGAAAACAUAAAAAUGAUUAAAGGACAUGUAAUCUAGCCAUUGAAAAGAAAAAAAAAUGUUAAAAUUCCUCAUGAGGGGACUGUUCUAUGUUGAGGAGACAGAGAAAAAAAACCCAACAAUUAAAUGCAAUGUGUUCAUAUCUAAUGGCUGUAUUUGCUUGAUAAUGGGACAGGUUCCAAACUAUUAACUAAUGAAUUCAGUGAAAAUACUAAUGAGUUAUUUUUAAUUUGGAAAUUUUAAAUUGCCAUUCUAUAAAUUGAUGAAAUUCUUCAUUUUCCAUUCAGAUGUCAUUAUAUAGAAAUUCCAACAUUAAUUGUGAACUGUAGGUAGGACAAUGAAUUAUUUAUUUCCAAGGAAAUUAUUGAAUAUAACAUUCCCUCUUUGCCUAAAAAAAUAAUUUUAAGCCCUCAUUAGAAAAUGUUUCUUUGUCUGCUUUUUUUUAAGGACUCAUCCGUGGCAUGUGGAAGUUCCCAGGUUAGGGGUCAAAUUGAAGCUACAGUUGCCAGCCUACACCACAGCCACAGCAAUGCAGGAUCUGAGUCUGUGACCUACGCCACAGCUCAGAGCAACACUGGAUCCUUAAGCCACCGAGUGAGGCCAGUGAUUAAACCUGCAUCUUCAUGGAUAUUAGUCAUAUUCAUUUCUGCUGUGCCACAACAGGAACUCUCUAGGGAAUAUAUUUUGAUACCAUGUAUUAGGUUUAAAUAAUUUCUUAUAAUACUAGUAUUUUCUUCACAUAUGUUAAAUCUUCUGAUAAACCAAUUAUUAUCACUAAUCCUAAAAAAUUAAUAUUUGUCAUGAAGUAUAAUGGCAACUUUAUUAAUUUAAACUUACGUCAGUUUUGAUCAAAGUGAAUCAAAUAAAUUGCACUUUCUAAUGAUUGACUAAUAUUAGUGGUGCCCUUGAUAAUAUUUUAAAAUAUAUUUUGAAUAUUAGAUCAGUAGUUCUAAAUAAUGAAGAUUUUAUUUAUUAUUAAAAAUAAAUGAGUUCUUUCAGGGAUAUUGAACCUUUAUCAACAUUCUCUCUGAGGGUAUUGAAUUAAAAUUAAAACUCAUAGGAAACAACUAUAUUCAAGUUGGGGAAACUUUGAAAAACUUGCUGCUAAUCUCCAAUUGUGUGAUUUGGAAUUUUGAUCCCACCUGAAAAUAAAUGCCAAUGAGUAAAUAUGAGCUAUCUAGUUUACAAUUUAUCCAAGAGAGAAAACUGUUGUUAGGGUGGAUGGAACAUUUAUUCUCAUCUUUCCAAGGGAUAAAAUUUAUGAUUUUAUACAAAUGAUGAAGAAAUAUAUGACUUUUAACUAAAAUACAAUAUUUUCAUUCACAUUUAUAUUUUUAUUUUUAACUCCAUAUUUAAAUUUGAUUUCUUAAAAUUUUCUAGAUUCUCUACUCUUUCUUUUAAGAGAAACCAAUGAAGAAGGUAAGCAUAAGAAUACUUCUUGAGAGUGAUAUCUUGUUUUUUUUUAAACUGUGGACAGAGUGGGAUUUAAAGGUAAAGUGUUGUAAGUAGUGAGAACUAUGAUUUUAUGAAAUGGUUUUUAGGGAUAUAUAUAAUUAGGUAUUUCCAGUGAUGCUAUAUAUAUAAAGACAAUCUGCUGUCAGAGACCAUCCGAAUUAUACUGCAAGCAAAUGCGAGUGGGUGUGUCUCUGAAAUGUGUUUUACAAAGAAUCUGAAAUUUGACCAUAUGGAUGUGAGGGAAUACAUAACUUUUUAAAAAACAGUUGUAGUUACUCUUUUCCUUUUUUUUUUUUUUUUUUUUUUUUUUUUUUUUUUUUUUUUUUUUGCCAUGCCCAUGGCAUGCAGAAAUUCCUGGGCCAGGAAUUGAAUCUGCACCAGUGCAGUGACCCAAAUAACCAGCUGUGGCAAUGCCAGAUCCUUAAACCACUGAACUACAAGAGAACUCCCAUUGUAGAUAUUCUUGGAACAUGCCUAUCUUGCUCAUUAGAACUCAUUUACCUAUACAGUUUGUUUAGUGACGGAUUAUAGUUUUUCUAAAGUUGGCCACAUCAAUGGAUCUUGGAGCACUCUUUUUUGUUUUUUUUUUCUGUUUAUCAUUUUUUAGCUUGGGUAGUGUUGUUUUGGUAUUUUUCCUCUGUGCUCACUGUUCCUUUAUUCUUAAAUCCAUUUAGUCUCUCAGGGACAAAGGCCAUAUCUUUUUUUCUCUUUAUUCCUUUCUUGUCUAAAAUAGUGAAUACUCAAUACAUGCUUUAUGAAUAAAUGGAAAAAAAAUCAUCUUAAAACUUUACUAGAGAUGUCAUCUAUGGAAAAUAGAUACAAGAUUAGGUGAGUGAAGAAAUUGCUUUGCUUAUAUAAAUAUCCAUUUUUAAAAAUUAUUUAGAAACAAAAUACCUAAUUGAUAUAAAGUGAUUCCGAGUCCACUAUAGGUAGAAGAGUAUCAUGGCAAAAUAACUUCCAUGUAUUUUAUAGUCAAAUUGAAUAGAAAAGUGUAUGACUGUGCAUGGAUGCAAUCUCAGGUUUAUGAAACAGUGUUCAAAUCAGCUUAUCUUUACAUGACAACAAAUAACUUAGAUCCAAAACAAUGUGGGAAAAAGAAUAAUACUUAAUAUUAAACAGACUGUGGUCACGCUAGAGGGGCAUAAGAUAUUAUUAUUGCUUGAAUAAAUCCAAAGCCAAACGCUUAUGAAUAGAUAGAGAAGAAAUUUAGAAAUCAUUUGGCACCUUUUUUACUUGUUCAAUAUCAUAUGACUCAUUUGUGAUAGAUCUAUGACUGAUAUUCUAGACCUCUUAUCUGUUCACCAUGUUACUCAAUAGAUAAUUUUUGAUGGAGCUAUACUCUUAAAUUUGUUAAUAGAACAAAUACAUAUUAUUGCACAUAUUAAAAAGAAAUGCCUGUGUGUGUGUGUAGUGAUAUCACUGUAUUAUAAAUAAAAGAGUUUGUAUAAGUUCUUUUACUAGAAUGGUCAUGUAUUUUGCUUUUCCAUUCAUGUUUUCUUGCUUGGUAGUCAAUGCAACCAAGGGCCAGCUUACAAAAGAGAUGGUCAGAAUUAGGAGUAUGGUCCCAAUCAGUUCACAUCAUGGGCCAUUCAUCUUGCCCACAGGAUGAAGUAACUGAUAAUGUUGAAGUCAUUAGCAUCAGAUUGUUACCAGGUAAAUUUACCAGGUUUAGAAAUGCCAGAUAAGGAAAGCUCUACUGGAUUUACAUUCUUGCCUUUCAAAUAGUUUUGUAGCUGUGACUCUUAGAUACAACUCAAGUGGGAACAAAGUAAGGGGGAUGGGAAAUUUACAGAGCUUUGCAGCGUAACCUGAGUACAUACAUUAAAAUUUUGAAAAGGACAAGUUAUUCAAAUGUGUAGCAUCUAUCAGAAUUAGAGGGAAAUAUGCAUAAUGAAAGGCAGAAUUUGUUCCUAAUUGUACAAAUUAUAUAGAAGCCUUGUGAACAAUUUUGCAUAAUUUAAAAAUUUGAUGAGGAAAAUACCCAUUAGAAUACCUCAUCAAUUUACCUAAUGGCAUGGGAUUAUUACCUAAGGCAUAUUUUUUGAGUGUUUUAGUAAGUUUAAUUUUACAUCAAUCAAAUGACUGUUUUUUAAGUGCUUUCUGUGUAUGGUAGUGUUAAAACCACAUAGAAGGACGUUCCCUUCGUGGCUCAGUGGUUAAUGAAUCCGACUAGGAACCAUGAGGCUGCAGAUUCGAUCCCUGCCCUUGCUCAGUGGGUUAAGGAUCCGGCAUUGCCGUGAGCUGUGGUGUAGGUUGCAGACAUGGCUCGGAUCCCGCGUUGCUGUGGCUCUGGUGUAGGCCAGCAGCUACAGCUCUGAUUAGACCCCUAGCCUGGGAACCUCCAUAUGCUGUGGAAGCGGCCCAAGAAAUG
This 5318-nucleotide long non-coding RNA is filed under the name Sus scrofa (pig). Its description in RNAcentral is "lncRNA (ENSSSCG00000062477.1)". Lineage: Eukaryota; Metazoa; Chordata; Mammalia; Artiodactyla; Suidae. The record is from RNAcentral.